UUCUCCACCUUAUUUCCGUAUCUCUACGGAGAUCUCUGUUCCUCACUGAAACGGUCCAGAAAGUUUCAAAAAUGCCAGCAACCCUAGAAUCAGAGGACCACCAUAGGAUUAUCACACGGUGUCCCGUGGUGCAGGUGUGAAGCCAUGAUCGAUCAACGAAGAAAGGUUUGUCGAGAGUUCGAUUGAAAUAUUCCUCGUGGUUCUACGAAGGAAUCGUUGUGAGGAUACACUUUCUGGAGGAGAGGAGCGCGACGCGUCUCGGACAAGUGUCGCGCGCAGACUAAACCUUCCGGCGCGGCUUCCGCGCGGCUUUCAGUACGCGUACUGUGCGCAGGGCUCGACGUGCGUCCCACGCCUACAGCCCUGAGCCGAAGACACGCAACCCCCGACUGAAGAUUAACCAGUCCGUCUUGGUACGGCCGCUGAACUGACACCUAUUAACCAAGUGGAAACAAUUAUUUCCUGCGUUGGAGUGAGAUACAGUUCUAUGGAACCAAAGAUUUACGCUUUGUAUUUGCUCGGGCAUUGCGGUUUUUAGCAAAGUUACGACGACGAACGUAGUUUAGGUUGGAGAAUGGUUUGAGUACUGAUGUUUUUUUGCGGAUUAAGCUUUUGCGGGAAUUCCAGUAAGGACUUGGCAGAUCUUAGAUGGAGAAUUCUAAAAGUCACAUAGAUUCACAGAAAGACCAACCACAAGGCCGAAUAAUGCGACGAAAGCGAUUCUGUUCAAGGGAAAUGGACUAAAAUGCAUGUCCCAUGGGGUUGUUUACCACAUUUGGCCAUAUGGUCGAUUUUAAAUAUAAUAGCCAGGUUAAAGAA
Bombus impatiens (common eastern bumble bee) is the source of this 819-nucleotide long non-coding RNA. RefSeq lists it as uncharacterized. NCBI's taxonomy places the organism in Eukaryota, Metazoa, Arthropoda, Insecta, Hymenoptera, Apidae. The record is from RefSeq and is a predicted model, not a curated record. The transcript has 2 exons.